RNAcentral lists this ribosomal RNA (1560 nucleotides) under Triticum aestivum (bread wheat). RNAcentral describes it as "partial small subunit ribosomal RNA". The record is from RNAcentral. Lineage: Eukaryota; Viridiplantae; Streptophyta; Magnoliopsida; Poales; Poaceae.
AUGGAAACAAAGCGUGUAGCCAUCGUCGGCGCCGGCGUGAGCGGCCUGGCGGCGUGCAAGCACCUGCUGGAGCGCGGCUGCCGGCCGGUCGUCUUCGAGGCCGACACCGUCCUGGGCGGCGUGUGGGCGCACCCGCCGGAGUGCACCGCGCUGCAGACGCCGCGGCCCAUGUACCAGUACUCCGACUUCCCGUGGCCGGAGUCCGUGACGGAGGUCUUCCCGGACCACCGCCAGGUCAUGGACUAUCUCGACGCCUACGCGCGCCAUUUCGGUGUGCUCGACUGCGUCAGGUUCGGCCACCGGGUGCUCGGGAUGGAGUACGUUGGCGUCAGCGAGGAGAAGCUGGCGGCGUGGGAGGAGUGGGGCGGGAGCGGCGAGGCGUUCGGCUCUGGCGAUGGCGAGUGGCGACUCAAGGUGGCCAGCGGCGAUGACCACGUCGAGACACACGUUGUAGAUUUCGUGGUCCUUUGCAUUGGGAGGUUUAGUGGUGUGCCCAACAUACCCGAGUUUCCCCCCGGAAGAGGUCCAGAAGCAUUUGAUGGGAAGGUGAUCCACUCAAUGGACUAUUCCAAAAUGGGCAGCACGAAAGCUAAGGAGAUGAUCGCGGGCAAGCGUGUGACCGUAGUUGGGUACCUAAAAUCAGCACUCGACAUUGCUGCUGAAUGUGCAGAAGUGAAUGGCACGGAGCAACCGUGUACGAUGAUAGUCCGAACAAAGCAUUGGAUCAUACCUGACUACUACGCUUGGGGUGUUCACAUAUCAAAGUUGUAUCUGAACCGCUUCUCUGAACUCCUUAUUCACAAGCCCGGUGAAGGUUUCCUCCUGAGCCUCUUGGCCACCACCUUGACUCCAUUGCGGUGGAUAUUUUCAAAGUUCGCUGAGAGCUACUACUCCAUUCCAAUGAAGAAGUAUGACAUGGUACCUGACCAUAGCCUUUUUGAGGCGUUGGUGACAUGCUUGAUUGCCAUCACGCCCAAAGAUCACUACAAGAGACUAGAGGAAGGUAGCAUUAUUCUCAAGAAGUCCAAGACCUUUAGCUUUUGCAAGGAAGGUGUGCUUCUUGAAGGUGAAUCUUCAUCGACAAAAAGCGAUAUAGUGAUCUUUGGAACUGGAUUCAAGGGGGAUCAGAAGAUCAAGGAUAUGUUCACAUCAGAAUACUUUCAGAAGAUUGCGAUUGGGUCAACAUCCACAACUGUGCCUCUUUACAGGGAAUGCAUCCAUCCUAAGAUUCCGCAGCUCGCAGUCAUCGGAUAUUCAGAGAGCUUAGCAAACCUGUACACAACAGAACUUCGGGUCAAGUGGCUAACACACUUCAUGGAUGGUGGCUUUAGAUUACCAUCUGUUCAAGCAAUGCAAAGGGAUGUCCUUGAGUGGGACAAGUUCAUGAAAAGCUAUUCUCGUGGCUACUUCCGUAGGUCCUGCAUUGGAAUCCUUAACAUUUGGUACAACGACCAACUAUGCAAGGAUAUGGGGUGCAAUCCUAGAAGGAAGAACGGCUUUUUCGCAGAGUUGUCGGAGGUUUAUGGUCCUGGUGAUUAUGUCAACCUCCACCCCAAAUAA